RNAcentral lists this ribosomal RNA (389 nucleotides) under uncultured bacterium. RNAcentral's name for it is "bacterial SSU rRNA". It matches the Rfam family "Bacterial small subunit ribosomal RNA", at positions 28 to 417 of the family's 1533-position model. The record is from RNAcentral.
GACGAACGCUGGCGGCGUGCUUAACACAUGCAAGUCGAGCGGUAAGGCCCUUUCGGGGGUACACGAGCGGCGAACGGGUGAGUAACACGUGGGUGACCUGCCCUCAGCUCUGGGAUAAGCCCGGGAAACUGGGUCUAAUACUGGAUAUGACUCCAUGACGCAUGUUGUGGGGUGGAAAGCCUUGUGCGGCUGAGGAUGGGCCCGCGGCCUAUCAGCUUGUUGGUGGGGNGAUGGCCUACCAAGGCGACGACGGGUAGCCGGCCUGAGAGGGCGACCGGGCCACACUGGGACUGAGACACGGCCCAGACUCCUACGGGAGGCAGCAGUGGGGAAUCUUGCGCAAUGGGCGAAAGCCUGACGCAGCGACGCCGCGUGAGGGAUGACGGCCU